This 253-nucleotide ribosomal RNA is filed under the name uncultured bacterium. RNAcentral's name for it is "partial 16S ribosomal RNA". It matches the Rfam family "Bacterial small subunit ribosomal RNA", at positions 524 to 776 of the family's 1533-position model. The record is from RNAcentral.
UACAGAGGGUGCGAGCGUUAAUCGGAAUUACUGGGCGUAAAGCGUGCGUAGACGGUUAUUUAAGUCGGGUGUGAAAGCCCCAGGCUCAACCUGGGAAUUGCAUUCGAGACUGAAUAGCUAGGGUACGGUAGAGGGAAGUGGAAUUUCCGGUGUAGCGGUGAAAUGCGUAGAUAUCGGAAGGAACAUCAGUGGCGAAAGCGACUUCCUGGACCAGUACCGACGUUCAGGCACGAAAGCGUGGGGAGCAAACAGG